ACUCAAAGGAAUAGACGGGGGCCCGCACAAGCGGAGGAACAUGUGGUUUAAUUCGAUGAUACGCGAGGAACCUUACCCGGGCUUGAAAUGCAUCUGACCGAAGUGGAAACACUUUUUCUAGCAAUAGCAGAUGUGUAGGUGCUGCAUGGUUGUCGUCAGCUCGUGCCGUGAGGUGUCGGCUUAAGUGCCAUAACGAGCGCAACCCUUGCCGUUAGUUGCCAUCAGGUUAUGCUGGGAACUCUAGCGGGACUGCCACCGUAAGGUGUGAGGAAGGUGGGGAUGACGUCAAAUCAGCACGGCCCUUAUGUCCGGGGCGACACACGUGUUACAAUGGGCGGUACAGAGGGAAGCUACCCGGUGACGGGAUGCUAAUCUUUAAAACCGUUCUCAGUUCGGAUCGGAGUCUGUAACUCGACUCUGUGAAGCUGGAUUCGCUAGUAAUCGCGCAUCAGCCAUGGCGCGGUGAAUACGUUCCCGGGCCUUGUACACACCGCCCGU
Molecule: ribosomal RNA, 498 nt
Filed under: uncultured bacterium
Lineage: Bacteria
Description: bacterial SSU rRNA
Rfam family: Bacterial small subunit ribosomal RNA
Source: RNAcentral